This 22-nucleotide microRNA is filed under the name Callorhinchus milii (elephant shark). RNAcentral describes it as "Cmi-Mir-15-P2c_5p (mature (guide))". Lineage: Eukaryota; Metazoa; Chordata; Chondrichthyes; Chimaeriformes; Callorhinchidae. RNAcentral also lists the same sequence under 12 other names. The record is from RNAcentral.
UAGCAGCACGUAAAUACUGGAG